AGGUCUCUUUAAAGAAUUGUCAAAUUUAUUGUUCGCAUACUACUGCUUGGUGGACUACUUCUUCCACGGCCAUAACUCAGCAUCUUCAUUGGUUCUGAUUUGAGACCUAUAAACCGGAAAGGAAGGAGUAGGUAUUUGGGUCCUAAGAUGUGCACACGUUGUAUAAUAUCGGGUUUGAGGGCCUGACUGACAAGAGCAUGAUGUACGCUCUACCAGAGCUAUUCAUCCCCAUUGUCAGGCCUACAAGGCCGCGACCACAGUCACGCUUAUUGACAGUGGUAUUGGUAUUACCAAGUCAGAUAACGUUGGUACCAUUGCAAGGUCUGGCACAAAGAAUUUCAUGGAGGCCCUGGUUGCUGGUGCCAAUUUGUCCAUGAUUUUGAUGGAUGCCGCAAAUAGUCGUGCAGCCCGGUGACACUUACAAAUCGAGUAGGCCAGGCGACGGCGCUCCUAGAACCAUGACGCAACACCUCUGGAUCAUUGUUGCGGCCGACGGGCUUGGGCUUGUCAAGGGCGUGGUCCAGAACCAUGGCUUCGAGCUGUCCGCGAUCAAGUGCUCGUGGUGCUCGUGCAUUGGGAGGCCAUGUUCCACCGACGCCGGCCCUCCUGCUUGCUGUGACACAGUACAGGAUUCAAGGAUUUCAAUGGGGAGGAAUACACCAAGCAAACGGCACAACAAGGAACCAUCUGACCCAUUAUAGGUAACAGCUAGACCUGACAUGGAAAAUAAGCUUUGUGGUCUGGCCCUGAUGUAUUUACUGAUUAAUGUGUGUUUUACAGCAAGGCUGACUUUAUAUCUUGCUCUUCUUGAUUCUCAUCUACUUAAUCAUGCAGCUGUGUGGCUAAUUGCUUGGGACUUGUCCCCCUUGGGCUGGAAGUUUAGCCUAUCCGUUAUUCAUGAUGAUUGAUGUGGUUACCCGCAAAGUGGUCAGGAGGUGAAUGUGUUUUCCUUCUUGUAACUAUGAAACAUGUCAAUGGCAUCACUAUUUCGAACCUGACAGUAGUCCUUUGAAUCUCAAUCCAAAGCAGCAAUUUGGAUACAUGUGAAACUGAGCCCGAUUCAAGGAUUUCAAUGGGAAGGAAUACGCCAAGCAAGUGGCACAACAAGGAACCAUCUGACACAUCAUGGGCCAGGCCGCUACAGGAGAGAUGCAUCAAUGACCUGUGACUAUUCAGACUCACUUGAAGGACGGCGUGGUGAACUCCCAUUGUUGGUGAUGAAUGCCAGAUUUGAUUCAUCAGCUUACUGAGCCUGUCGUGUUGUUGGAUUAGUAGAGAAACGCUUGUUAGAGGAUUUUGACUUUAUCCAGUGCAUGAGUGAAUGAAAUUGAACAGUUUCAUUCUUGAUUUGGAGUGCAUGAAUGGAUCAUCCUGAUUUGCUUGAGUUGGCAAAUGUGCGGGCAUCGCAGACCAAAUAAAAUCUUCUAUGUUUGUGCCUUUUCUAUUGGCUUAUUAUGCAUUGCAUGGGUGUGUUGUGCAUAUAUGCAAGUGAGAUGGAUAUGGAGAUGGAGAAAUGGCCUGCAUGUAGGGUAACUAUGUCAAGUCAAUGAAUCAGCUAACAUUGUCAUCCGUUUAAUAUGCUCGUCAAGGCUAUGUCAUUUUCUUGAAGAUGUGUACAUGUCUGCAACCUCUUAUUUCUGCAUAUUAGUCCAACUGAUGCCGUUGACGAACUGAUACCCAAGCUGGAGUAUUUACUGUUCAACGUUCUGAUAAUCAUGAAUUCUUGAUGCCUCUUCUGGUCUAGAGCGCAACUAACUGGUGCAUGUUGGUUUCAGGGUCAAGAGUUGUGUGUCAGGCUCUUUUCAUCUAGGGGGUGCCCUGGUGGUCGCGUUUGCGGAAAUCAAGGGCCGGAUCUCAUCAUGCGGUUUACUCAUACUCACAUGCAGGAACUCCCAAGGGCCUGCCUGCCUCCACCUUGGUGGUCACUUGUUGGGUUGAAGUUUAUUGUUGUUUGACUACAAUCAACGGAAUGGUCAACGAGACGGCUGGUGGAACAUACUACUCAUUAUCCAAGUUUCGGAUGUAGAGGUCUGGGCUUGUUUUGUGUUCUUCAAGUGCUGCUAGCUCUUUCUUAGCUUGUGACUGAAGAAGGGCGGCCCCGAGGCCAUGACGAAAGGGAUUAGAUUCUUAUCGGUUUAGUUAGUUGACUUUGUUUUUCGGAAUUUUGAACAAUAAACAGAUGAUGAUAGAUGACAGGUGGUGCCGCGCUUUAUUUUUGUUGUUGCUUACAAGAUGCAUUGCAACAAUCAGCAGUGGUAUAAUUUGGAGUGUGCAUUGAUGUAUUC
Triticum aestivum (bread wheat) is the source of this 2285-nucleotide RNA transcript. RefSeq lists it as uncharacterized. The record is from RefSeq and is a predicted model, not a curated record. The transcript has 6 exons. NCBI's taxonomy places the organism in Eukaryota, Viridiplantae, Streptophyta, Magnoliopsida, Poales, Poaceae.